RNAcentral lists this ribosomal RNA (505 nucleotides) under uncultured bacterium. Its description in RNAcentral is "partial 16S ribosomal RNA". It matches the Rfam family "Bacterial small subunit ribosomal RNA", at positions 28 to 507 of the family's 1533-position model. The record is from RNAcentral.
GACGAACGCUGGCGGCGUGCCUAAUACAUGCAAGUAGAACGCACAGUUUAUACCGUAGCUUGCUACACCAUAAACUGUGAGUUGCGAACGGGUGAGUAACGCGUAGGUAACCUGCCUGGUAGCGGGGGAUAACUAUUGGAAACGAUAGCUAAUACCGCAUAAUAUUGAUUAUUGCAUGAUAAUUGAUUGAAAGAUGCUAUUGCAUCACUACCAGAUGGACCUGCGUUGUAUUAGCUAGUAGGUGAGGUAACGGCUCACCUAGGCGACGAUACAUAGCCGACCUGAGAGGGUGAUCGGCCACACUGGGACUGAGACACGGCCCAGACUCCUACGGGAGGCAGCAGUAGGGAAUCUUCGGCAAUGGACGAAAGUCUGACCGAGCAACGCCGCGGGAGUGAAGAAGGUUUUCGGAUCGUAAAGCUCUGUUGUAAGAGAAGAACGGGUGUGAGGGUGGAAAGUUCACACUGUGACGGUAUCUUACCAGAAAGGGACGGCUAACUACGUG